This 379-nucleotide ribosomal RNA is filed under the name uncultured bacterium. Its description in RNAcentral is "partial 16S ribosomal RNA". It matches the Rfam family "Bacterial small subunit ribosomal RNA", at positions 338 to 734 of the family's 1533-position model. The record is from RNAcentral.
CCUACGGGAGGCAGCAGUGGGGGAUAUUGCACAAUGGGGGGAACCCUGAUGCAGCGACGCCGCGUGGGUGAAGAAGCGCCUCGGCGCGUAAAGCCCUGUCAGCAGGGAAGAAAAUGACGGUACCUGAAGAAGAAGCCCCGGCUAACUACGUGCCAGCAGCCGCGGUAAUACGUAGGGGGCAAGCGUUAUCCGGAUUGACUGGGUGUAAAGGGGGCGGAGACGGCGGUGCAAGCCAGGGGUGAAAGCCCUGGGCCAAACCCGGGGACGGCUCUUGGAACUGCGUGGCUGGAGUGCAGGAGGGGCGGGCGGAAUUCCUGGUGUAGCGGUGAAAUGCGUAGAGAUCAGGAGGAACACCGGUGGCGAAGGCGGCCUGCUGGAC